GCGGCGAUCAUGCUCGGGGAGCCGGGACUGGGCCGCGGCGCGGGGUGGCGGGAGCGGGCGGUGCCGAGCAGAGCGGCGCGGGGGGUCGGUGCUCGGCGGGAUGUUCCGUAAGGCGCGGAGGGUGAAUGUGAGGAAGCGGAACGACUCGGAGGAGGAAGACGAGGAGCGCGACGAGGAGCCGCCUCAGGAGCCGGCGCCGGCGGCCGGCACGGGGGGUGAAGGGCCCGGUGAGGCCUCCAUGGCGCUGGCGGCGGGCUCCGGGCUCUUGCCGCUGCCCCCCGGCUGCGUGCCCCUCGCCCUGCCCGGCAGCCCCGCGGCCUUCGCCUGCGCCGCGGGCUACGGCGCGGCUCUCGGCUUGGGGCUGGGCUUGAUGGGAGCCGAUAGGGCUGGCCUGGGGGCCUUGCCGGCGCCCGCCCUCCUGUCCCCCCCGCCGCCGCCGCAGCAGCAGCAGGGCAAUGGGCUGCCGGGGGCCGGGCGCCCCAAGGAGAAGAAGAGGCCUCGGGAGAACAAAGAGGUGCCGCGGGCGAGCCUGCUCAGCUUCCAGGACGAGGAGGAGGAAACUGAAGAGGUUUUUAAAGUGAAGAAAUCAAGUUACAGCAAAAAGAUUGUAAAACAAUUGAAGAAAGAAUACAAAGAAGAUCUUGAAAAAUCAAAAGUUAGAACAGAGGUCAAUUCUCCAACAGAUGUUGAACCACCACUAGACAAGACAGGACAAAUUAAGGAUAUAGGUCAAGAAGAUGGGACUGCAAACAGUGAGCAUGGUGAGGAAGAAAUGGAAGUUGAAAGUGAGAAAGAAGAAGAAAAAACAAAAGCUGGUGGGGCUUUUUCAAGUGCUCUGUCGUCACUGAAUGUUCUCCGCCCAGGAGAAAUUCCAGAUGCUGCAUUUAUUCAUGCUGCUAGGAAAAAACGUCAAAUGGCUCGUGAACUUGGAGACUUUACACCCGUUGACAGUGAACCAGGUAAAAGCCGCCUUGUUCGAGAAGAUGAAAAUGAUGCCAGUGAUGAUGAAGAUGAUGACGAGAAGAGGAGGAUAGUUUUUACAGUGAAGGAAAAAUCCCAAAGGCAAAAGAUUGCUGAGGAAAUAGGCAUUGAGGGAAGCGAUGAUGAAGCACUGGGGGCAGGGGAGCAAGAUGAAGAACUCAGUAGAUGGGAGCAAGAACAGAUACGGAAAGGAAUCAACAUACCUCAGGUUCAACCAAGUCAGCCUGCUGAAGUGAAUAAUCUGUACUACCAGACCACUUACCAGACACUGUCUUACGGUUCAUCAUAUGACGUUCCAUACACUUACGCUGCAUAUGGAUCAUCGGAAACCAAGUCUCAAAAAACAGAUAAUACAGUUCCUUUCAAAACUCCCAGUAAUGAGAUGACUCCUGUUACUAUUGAUUUGGUAAAGAAACAGCUUAAAGACAGGUUGGACUCUAUGAAAGAAUUGCACAAAGCUAAUCGGCAGCAAUAUGAGAAACAUCAGCAAAGCCGAGAGGACUCUACCAAGGCAAUUGAAAGAUUAGAAGGGUCUUCUGGGGGUAUUGGUGAACAGUAUAAGUUUUUGCAAGAAAUGCGAGGGUAUGUCCAAGACUUGCUUGAAUGUUUCAGUGAAAAGGUGCCUCUGAUUAAUGAGCUUGAAUCUGCAAUGCACCAGCUGUACAAACAGCGAGCUUCCCGCCUUGUCCAAAGACGACAAGAUGAUAUUAAAGAUGAAUCUUCGGAGUUUUCAAGCCAUUCAAAUAAAGCCCUGAUGGCACCAAAUCUUGAAUCUUUUGGACGAGACAGAGUGAUCUAUCAAGAACAAGUAAAGCGUCGGACUGCAGAGAGAGAGGCUAGAAGAACUCGCCGUAGACAAGCAAGAGAGCAAACUGGGAAGAUGGCAGAUCACCUUGAAGGCCUCUCCAGUGAUGAUGAGGAAACUUCAACGGAUAUUACAAACUUCAACAUGGAGCGAGAUCGUAUAUUGAAAGAAUCCAGCAAAGUUUUUGAAGAUGUUUUGGAAAGCUUUUACUCAAUUGAUUGUAUCAAGUCACAGUUUGAAGCUUGGCGCUCAAAGUAUUUUGCUUCUUACAAGGAUGCUUAUAUUGGCCUUUGCUUACCAAAGCUGUUUAACCCUUUAAUCAGACUUCAGCUGCUUAUUUGGACUCCUUUGGAGGGCAAGUGUCGAGAUUUUGAGACCAUGUUGUGGUUUGAAUCAUUGCUAUUUUAUGGCUGUGAAGAACAGGAGCAAGUGAAAGAUGAUGCGGAUAUUUCACUGUUGCCUACCAUUGUAGAAAGAGUUGUUCUCCCUAAAUUAACAGUGAUUUCUGAAAAUAUAUGGGAUCCUUUUUCUACAACCCAAACAUCUAGAAUGGUAGAAGUGGUACAGAAACUAGUAGAUGGAUAUCCUUCAGUGGUGAAUGCAGAAAACAAAAAUACACAAAUGCUUUUAAAGGCACUGUUGCUAAGAAUGAGGAGAACACUAGAUGAUGAUGUAUUCAUGCCCUUAUAUCCAAAAAAUAUGAUUCACUGGCUGGAUACAGGAGAUCGUUAUCGUGCUGUGAGGAUUUAGCAAGGACAAGCAGGAUGGAAGGGAAUGUUUAUAGGAAUGAUCUGUGUGUGGGAAGGAGGAAGCCAGCAAACUCCAGACAGAGAUGCUCUUGGUUGCUCAUUAAAGAAAUCUCUUACUUUCCAGCGUCUUAGAAAACAAGAACUCUGGUCCAUAUUUGUUUUUCCAACGUCAGUUUUGGUCCUCUGUCAAGUUAUUAGGAAACUUUCUCCAGUGGUAUGGAAUCCUUUCAAACAAAACUCUUCAGGAAUUGUCAAUAGAUGGUCUGCUAAAUAGAUAUAUUCUUAUGGCUUUUCAAAACUCGGAGUAUGGAGAGGACAGCAUUAAGAAAGCUCAAAGUGUAAUUGCUUGCUUUCCCAAACAGUGGUUCGCUAAUCUAAAAGGAGACAAGACUAUUUCUCAGUUGGAAAACUUCUGUAGAUACCUUGUCCAUCUGGCUGAUACAAUUUAUAGAAACAGCAUUGGUUGCUCUGAUGUAGAGAAGAGAAAUGCAAGGGAGCACAUAAAGCAGAUCAUAAAGCUUCUAGCAAGUAUCCGAGCACUCGAUCAUGCUGUGACAGUUGCGAAUGAUCACAAUGUAAAAGAGUUAAAGAUUUUAAUAGAAGGAAAAUAGACUUUUCUGACAACUCAUUUUGAGCUUUAAAACCAUUCCUGAUGUGUAAUUUAUGUACAUAUGUAAAGUUUCUUAAACUGUAAAGUAUUGAUCUUUGUUUUAAUACAAAGUGCAUUCUUAUAUACAGCAUCCUUAAAGAAAAAAAAAUUUGACUUACUUGAAAACAAAAAUGGAAUCCCAAGAUUGUCAUCUUUCCAGAAAUCAGAUUUUCCUUAAAGUUUCUCAAAAUCUUGUUUACAAAAAUGCUUUGUACCCAUGAUUAGUAGUCAUCUACUCCUGUUAAUUGUUCCAUGGUUAACUGGAAUGUGUAUAUUAUAUUAUGUGUAAUGCAAUGUAUGCAUAUAUUUAUACCACCAUGUUGCUUUCACACUGGAUAUAGAGAUCUUGUACUGUUCAAUAAGCUUUUCAAGCUUUUUGUUUGCUAAAAAAAUACUUAUUUUGUCAAUAAAAUGAUCAUAGUAUUGGUCAAAAGGGCUGGCAAAACAUUCAAAAAUGUGAAAAUCCUUUGAGCUAGAGUAGAGACACUUUCAAAUGGAACCUGACCUUUAAAAAGCAGUUGUGUUGCACUCAUUGCAAUAGCUAAAACAUUAUUUGCAUUCAGAAUAUGGAACUCUUAAGACCGUUCUUAGAAAUAAAAGAAAGGAAAACCCAAAUCAAUACUGCUUUUUUUUGGUACAGGCAUACAAUAAGAGCUUGUGAUUAUUGCACAAGUAUACAUGACAGCACUUCCUAGACCCCAAACACCUUUCAUUUUGUAGGAGUAAUAGUUUAGCCAUGACCUCUGGGCCCUCAUUCCUUUUGCUCACUGUUUGUGGUUUGGUUUUUUUUUGGUUUUGUUAGUUGUUGGGUAUUUUUUUUCAUAUGUGGAACCUGUUUCUUCUGAUUGGCAUGGCUAAAGAUGUCAAACAAAAUGAAGGUGAAGAAAAUCGUAUAUCCUGUGGUUUGAAGUAUUUAUAUUGUACUAAAUAUCAAAAUGUUACACUGUCCACUAAAUACCACCUAAGAAUAGUCUUGCAAAACAAAACAUGUAAUUUGGAUGUAAAUUAAAAAGAAAACAACUUAAAAAUCUGGUGGUUUACAGCAAAACACUAGUGACUUGGUCUUGUGGUCCAAGGCAUGGGAUUAGCUGUAAUGGCCUUGGAUUAAGAGCUAUUUCCAGGUGUGCCCUGCAUUUGGGGGGAUCUGUAGCAAUAAAUUGGCAUACUGAAUAACGUAAGAAAUCAUUGUAUUCUAUGCUCAUGUUGUGGUAUAAAUGAGUAUAUUAAAAAUGUACAAUUUGUAACUUGCACACUUCAUUUGGACACUGAACCAUUGUUUUUUUGAACUGUUGGGAUUGAUGGACUACAUUCAGAAAUACCUGCUUUUAAAAAUUGUUUCAAUAAACUCGUCUGUCAAGGA
RNA transcript from Columba livia (rock pigeon), 4544 nucleotides. It is a transcript of the gene named PAX3 and PAX7 binding protein 1, with no coding region annotated. The transcript has 18 exons. The record is from RefSeq and is a predicted model, not a curated record. NCBI's taxonomy places the organism in Eukaryota, Metazoa, Chordata, Aves, Columbiformes, Columbidae.